RNAcentral lists this ribosomal RNA (468 nucleotides) under uncultured bacterium. RNAcentral's name for it is "partial 16S ribosomal RNA". It matches the Rfam family "Bacterial small subunit ribosomal RNA", at positions 28 to 507 of the family's 1533-position model. The record is from RNAcentral.
GACGAACGCUGGCGGCGUGCUUAACACAUGCAAGUCGAACGGAAAGGCCCUGCUUUUGUGGGGUGCUCGAGUGGCGAACGGGUGAGUAACACGUGAGUAACCUGCCCUUGACUUUGGGAUAACUUCAGGAAACUGGGGCUAAUACCGGAUAGGAGCUCCUGCUGCAUGGUGUGGGUUGGAAAGUUUCGGCGGUUGGGGUUGGGCUCGCGGCUUACCAGCUUGUUGGUGGGGUAGUGGCCUACCAAGGGUUUGACGGGUAGCCGGCAUGAGAGGGUGACCGGCAACAUUGGGCCUAAGAUACGGCCCAGACUGCUACGGGAGGCAGCAGUGGAGAAUAUUGCACAGUGGGGGGAAGCCUGAUACGACAACGCCGCGUGCGGGAUACAGGCCUUCGGGUUGUAAACCGCUUUGGCCUGUGACGAAGCGUGAGUGACGGUAAUGGGUAAGGAAGCACCGGCUAACUACGUG